RNAcentral lists this ribosomal RNA (638 nucleotides) under uncultured bacterium. Its description in RNAcentral is "bacterial SSU rRNA". It matches the Rfam family "Bacterial small subunit ribosomal RNA", at positions 28 to 660 of the family's 1533-position model. The record is from RNAcentral.
AUUGGACGCUGGCGGCAUGCCUUACACAUGCAAGUCGAACGGCAGCGCGGGGCAACCUGGCGGCGAGUGGCGAACGGGUGAGUAAUAUAUCGGAACGUACCCUGGAGUGGGGGAUAACGUAGCGAAAGUUACGCUAAUACCGCAUACGAUCUAAGGAUGAAAGUGGGGGCAUCGCAAGACCUCAUGCUCCUGGAGCGGCCGAUAUCUGAUUAGCUAGUUGGUGGGGUAAAGGCCUACCAAGGCAUCGAUCAGUAGCUGGUCUGAGAGGACGACCAGCCACACUGGAACUGAGACACGGUCCAGACUCCUACGGGAGGCAGCAGUGGGGAAUUUUGGACAAUGGGCGCAAGCCUGAUCCAGCAAUGCCGCGUGAGUGAAGAAGGCCUCGGGUUGUAAAGCUCUUUUGUCAGGGAAAGAAAACGGUGGGGGCUAAUAUCCCUUGCUAAUGACGGUACCUGAAGAAUAAGCACCGGCUAACUACGUGCCAGCAGCCGCGGUAAUACGUAGGGUGCAAGCGUUAAUCGGAAUUACUGGGCGUAAAGCGUGCGCAGGCGGUUUUGUAAGUCUGUCGUGAAAAUCCCCGGGCUCAACCNGGGAAUUGCGAUGGAGACUGGCAGGCUAGAAUCUGGCAGAGGGGG